This 519-nucleotide ribosomal RNA is filed under the name uncultured Acidobacteriaceae bacterium. RNAcentral describes it as "bacterial SSU rRNA". It matches the Rfam family "Bacterial small subunit ribosomal RNA", at positions 116 to 614 of the family's 1533-position model. Lineage: Bacteria; Pseudomonadati; Acidobacteriota; Terriglobia; Terriglobales; Acidobacteriaceae. The record is from RNAcentral.
CGUGGGUGAUCUGCCUCUGAGUGGGGGAUAACGUUCCGAAAGGGACGCUAAUACCGCAUGACAUCCUGUUCUUGGAUGAAUGGUGAUCGAAGCUGGGGACCGCAAGGCCUGGCGCUUGGAGAGGAGCCCGCGUCCGAUUAGCUAGUUGGUGGGGUAAUGGCCUACCAAGGCGACGAUCGGUAGCCGGCCUGAGAGGGCGGACGGCCACACUGGGACUGAGACACGGCCCAGACUCCUACGGGAGGCAGCAGUGGGGAAUUGUUCGCAAUGGGCGCAAGCCUGACGACGCAACGCCGCGUGGGGGAUGAAGGUCUUCGGAUUGUAAACCCCUGUUGGGUGGGACGAACACCCUCGUGGUGAAUAUCCACGAGGAUUGACGGUACCACCUGAGGAAGCCCCGGCUAACUCUGUGCCAGCAGCCGCGGUAAUACAGAGGGGGCAAGCGUUGUUCGGAAUUACUGGGCGUAAAGGGCGCGUAGGCGGCCUGUUAAGUCAGACGUGAAAUCCCUCGGCUCAACC